AAUUAAGAUGGAUUAACUAUACAAGCAGCAAUUGCUUUUGAGGUAUACAAUCAAAAGGCCAUCAUCCUACCCAUUUUAUAUGAAAGCAAAUGAAUAGACUGCUGACGGGGCAACACUUAAAGAGUAAAGAAUAAAUACAAUACGUAGGGCUUGCCUAUCAAGUAUAGAUGGUGUAAUCCUUUUUUUCUUUUUCGCUUUUUGUUUUUUAGUACUUUUUCACACCUUUAUUGAAACAUAUCUUUAUUUUUUUUGAUAAUCAUACUCUAUAUUUUGUUGCUUUAUUUUUAGUGUCUUUUCUUCUAAGCUCUCUUUAGUAGAUAAAAUAUCACCGAUUAAAAUGAUUACAAAAAGUUGGGCUUUUCAUUCUCUAUAUAUACAUCUGCUAUAUACGUAUUGAGUUUGCUACCAAUUCUUAAUAGCCAGCCCUCUAUUACCACGAAACAUCUGAUUCAGAAAGUCAAAAUCACUUUCUUCCGUGAUUAAUUGUUUAUCUUGCUGCUUCCGCUAAACUGUUACUUUGCAAACCUGACAUUCCAUAGUAUCGGAAAGUUUCUAAAGCUUUUGUAAACAAGACGGUCGUUCAGCCCAGGCUUAUUGCUGACGAUGUUAGUUGUAUUAUUAAAUAAUUUCUUUGAUGAAAAAAGAAAAACUCAAACACCAUGGGAAACAUUUAGU
This is a non-coding RNA of Schizosaccharomyces pombe (fission yeast), 675 nucleotides long. The record is from the annotation of a GenBank genome assembly. NCBI's taxonomy places the organism in Eukaryota, Fungi, Ascomycota, Schizosaccharomycetes, Schizosaccharomycetales, Schizosaccharomycetaceae.